Molecule: ribosomal RNA, 402 nt
Filed under: uncultured bacterium
Lineage: Bacteria
Description: bacterial SSU rRNA
Rfam family: Bacterial small subunit ribosomal RNA
Source: RNAcentral
UGGGGAAUCUUGGACAAUGGGGGCAACCCUGAUCCAGCCAUGCCGCGUGAUCGAUGAAGGCCUUAGGGUUGUAAAGAUCUUUCAGCUGGGAAGAUAAUGACGGUACCAGCAGAAGAAGCCCCGGCUAACUCCGUGCCAGCAGCCGCGGUAAUACGGAGGGGGCUAGCGUUGUUCGGAAUUACUGGGCGUAAAGCGCACGUAGGCGGAUCAGUAAGUUAGAGGUGAAAGCCCAGGGCUCAACCCUGGAACUGCCUUUGAUACUGCUGGUCUAGAGAUCGAGAGAGGUGAGUGGAAUUCCGAGUGUAGAGGUGAAAUUCGUAGAUAUUCGGAGGAACACCAGUGGCGAAGGCGGCUCACUGGCUCGAUACUGACGCUGAGGUGCGAAAGCGUGGGGAGCAAACA